Molecule: long non-coding RNA, 14758 nt
Filed under: Gossypium barbadense (sea-island cotton)
Lineage: Eukaryota; Viridiplantae; Streptophyta; Magnoliopsida; Malvales; Malvaceae
Description: long non-coding RNA (GBAR_LNC012265)
Source: RNAcentral
AAGAGCCAUUCAUUUUCAAUGUAAAAUAGAGGGGAUUUUUUUUUAUCUUUUCUUCUUUUGAUUGUUGUUUUGUUUUUAGAAAAGAGAGGAAAAUAUUGUUAGAUCCGAAUAUUGAAAAUCAACGAAGCAAAACAACAAAAGAUAAAAAGGUUGAUUUUAAUCUCCUUUCUCCUAUUCAUGUAGUUCAUUCCUUUAAUUUAUCUCAUUUUUUUCGUUAUAAACCAUUUUCAAAUAAAGGCAUAAAAGAAAGAACUCAUCUGGAUCGUCGUGGUCUUGACCCUCUUCGACAGUGGAGGCCCCGGUGGUUUCAAGGAUCCACGACGACGGCGGCAAAGGGGGGUUUUUGAAACCCUAAGAAAAAAAAAGAAAAGCGAUGGGGGUUCUCUGUUUCUUAAAACAAAAAUGAAGCAAAAGAUAAAAAUAAAAAGUAAAAAGGUAACUUAAGUAUGCAUCGGGCGGGAUAUUUACGACUGCGGUCUCUCCGCAUUUUUGGCCUUUUUAAUCUAAUCCUUCUUGUUUUCUUUUUUUUUUUAAUUUGAUCGUGUAAUUUUUUUUUCCGAAUUUCCCUUUUAGAUUUUAUUUAUAUUUUGAUUUGGUACUUUUAUUGCUUUUGCUAUUUUAAUUUUAAGUUAGCAAAUUUAAUAUAUCUUAUUUAGCUUUAAGAUAGUUAGUUUAACGUAUUAUUAGCAUUGUUGAUAUAUUUGAAUUUAUAUUCAUCUUAUUUUUCUAAUAUCAUCAUCAUUACAUUAUGACUAUUAUUAUCAUCUUGUUAUUAAAUUAAUUAAUCUCAUAUUGUUAUUAUUAUAUCUUUCCCUCUUAUGAUUAUUUGCUUAUUAUCUUAUUGCUAAUUAACUUGACUUAUUAACUUAUUAUUAUUAUUAUCACCAUCGCUGUUACUUAACUAACUAUUGUAUCUUAAGGUAUUAUUAAUAUUACUCUUAUUUCCAUUAUUAUUACCACUAUUCUUUAUUGUCAUAGUUAUUAUUUGUAUAGCUAUCAUUUUUAUUACCAAUAUCACUAUUUUUAUAUUUAUUUAAGUUAUUUUUACUUUCAUAACUACUACUACGUACUAUUAUUAUGUUUUUUUUACAUUUAUGUAUUUCUUUUUAUAUAUAAUCCAUUGUUCCCAUUUUGUCAUUUUGUUAUUUAUUCGUUGAUACAGUUAUAUAAUUUCAAACUUUGAUCUCUUUAUUAUUUGUAUCAUUAUUUUGUUUCACACAAUACUUACUCAUAUUUGUAUUAUUAUUGAUAUUUUAUCAAUUUUAAAUUACAAAUUUGUGUGCAUAUUUUACAUAAUACUUAUUUGUAUUAUUUUUUAUUGUCAUUGUUAUUAUUAUUAUUUAAAAAAAUAAAAAAAAUAAAAAAUAAUUUCAUUUGAUGUUUCUUUAUUCAUAUGUUUAUUUGCUUAUCAUAAUUUAAAAAUUAAGUUUUCACUAGAAUUCUCUUUGUUAUUUCAUGUAUCUUUGUAUUUAUUUUUAUUAUGUUUUAUUCUCAUCAUACUAUAUAUCUAUUCGUUUAUUCAUAUAUGUCUCUAUAUACCUGCAAGUUUGUGCUAUUCAUUAAUAUUAUUGUAUUUAUAUCAUCUUCGUUAUUAUUUUAUUAUGCACAUCGGUACUACAAUUUGUUUUCUCAUUUUACCAUAAAAUCAUAAUCAUAUUAAUCCUUUUUUACUCGACCCAUGAAAUUGUUCUUUCUAAAGUAAAGCAAUAUUCCGUAUUUGGAAAUUCGAGAAAUCGUGCCCUAACUUACUGGGUUUCGAUUUUAUCUCGUUUCACCUAAAUAACGACAUAUUCUUUUAAAUCAUAAUACAAGUUUUAAAUAAAAUGCCUACUCUUUGAGAUUUGAUGUGUUGUGUCCUAACUCACUGGAUAUGACAUCUUAUUACCUCGAGAUAAGACUUUUACAAAUAAGGUAAUAUUUCGUGUGUGGAAAGUUCGAGGAAAACGUGUCCUAUGUGUUAGGUUUCGAUUAGUCGUUUGACCGAAUAACCGGAUAUCCUUUUUCUUUCAAUGCAUGAGUUUUUGAAAAUCAUGAGAUAAUUUUGGCAUCGAAGGGUUGAAAUAUCGUGUCCUACGUGCUGGAUGUGAUAUUUUAUUUCCUUGAAACAAUAGAAAAUCUUAAUGUCUACUUCAAGUUAGCUAAGCAUUCAUAAAAAGGGAUCGUACUUCAAAAUUUAUUUUAAAUUUUUUUAAUUUUCGAUAUUAAGACAUUAAUUAAUCAAUUUGGUACCAAUUUUGGGCGUUACGAGGGUGCUAAUCCUUCCUCGUACGUAACCGACUCCCGAACCCAUUUUCUCAAAUUUCGUAGACCAAAAUGUCGCUUUAAUAAACUAAAAUGUCUUAUUAAAACAAGGGUAAUUCGAUCACACCCAAUAAAGAUCGGUGGCGACUCCUUUUUUAAUUUUUGCUUUCAAACAAAGUCGAUAUCCCUUUUUUUCAAAAAAUAGUUUCGACAGUUUGGCGACUCCACUGGGGAUUUCGAGAGUCGAGCCUUGAAUUGAUUAUUUUUUGUCUUUUGUCAAAAAUUGAAAAUCGGUUUCUAAUUUACUAUAUUGCAUGUUGUUUGUUAUUUUCGUGGCUUUCCUCAUAAUAUGCUUGCUUUAAGUGGUUUAAUUCUUUGAUGUAUCUUUGCAUAUCGCAUCGCAUUAUUGGUCAAUUUCACCUUUUAAGUGGGAGUGAGAAGCUAUGCCUUCGUGAGGUUUUCACCUCCGCAUGGGCUAGUAGAUUGCUUCCGGGAUACAUCCGUACCUAUGAUUUCGUGAGAUUUUCAUCUCCGCAUGGUCAUAGGGAAAUGUAUUCCCUUGAACCGAACUCGAUCUACAUGUGCCUAUAAUGGGUGAAGAUCGAGGAAUCUGUUGGUUCAGGUACCUUUACUUUAGAACCGAACUACAUGUAAUGAGCCCUAAGAGCCUACCCUAGGUAGAACCACACCGAACCCUAGUGGUCACCCGAUUAGGUGCUUAUUUACUCCUUAUUUGUUUUGAAUUCUAUUCUGUGUAUAUAAUACUGACUUGUUGCGUUUUGAUUGUUUUCGCAUGGCAUCUCAUCAUAAAAGGGUGUUGAUUUACAUUCGGUUACUAAAUAGAAGAGUUUAGCAUGGAAAAAGGAUUUCUUGAUAGAAUGGAGGAUAAUGCGGCCGUCCGAGUGUGGUCCAAGAGAAUGCAACAAGAGAAAGGAGAUAGUUCGACCGAGGGAUAUGAAUCGGAGUUAUGGGAUUUCACUCGCAUCAGUGUGACUCAGAACGACCUGCAAGAGUUAAGGGAUAUAUGGAAUAGUUGGAAUGGCGAAGUCAAGCAACUCUUUUACUGUAACUACGGUGAUCUACCCUAUUUGCUCGAUGUAAAGGUGGACAAGUGCUCAUUCCGGGCCCUCGCGCAGUUUUGGAACCCUGCUUACAGUUGCUUUACUUUCGGAGGAGUUGAUUUAGUACCUACUGUGGAGGAAUACAUGGCGUUACUUAAUUGUUCGAAGAUUCAGGCCGAUAGGGCCUAUUCAAGAACUGUCAACGUCCCUCCAUUUUUAAAAAACUUGAUGAAUAUCACGGGGAUGAGUGAGCAAUAGGUUGCAGCCCACAUCAAGCAAAAGGGAGAUAGUAAGUGUAUUCCCUGGAGGAAUUUGAAGGAUUUGAUCCUCGCACACCCGAAUUCGAAGAAAAGGGUUGAUGUUUUUGCCUUAAGCCUCUACGGCUUGAUCGUCUUUCCUAAGGCACUCGGGCACAUAGAUGAAGCCGUCCCAGAUUUAUUAGAUCGACUUGAUAAAGGUACCACACCUACCCCGGCAAUCCUAGCAGAAACUUUUCGAUCCUUGAAUGCAUCCUGGAGAGCGGGUGAGGGAAGAUUUAUUGGUUGUGCACAGCUUCUUUUGGCUUGGUUCCACGGUCAUUUUUGAAAGGUGGAGAAAGUCUCCUAUCGGGUAUUCUCUAAGGAUUAUUCCCCAUUAAGAGAAUUAGUGGCCACAUCGAGGUGAGACGACAUCUCAGAAGAGAAGUGGAUAAUUAUUCUCCAAAAUUUGCGGGCUGAAGACGUUGAGUGGAGGGCUCCGUGGUUGAUUCCUGACGAGAUCUUAUAUAGGUGCGGUGAUUUUGACUGGGUCCCUCUAGCCGGAAUAUGGGGAGCCAUUGGAUACGCUCCAUUGAUGGUGUUAAGGCAGUAUCGGUUGAGGCAGUUCAUACCGGUGACACAAGGGUUAUCUCAAUGUAAGUUCUCUUAUAAGGAUGACAGUUAUAAGAAAAAAGUUUAUGAGAUAUCAGAUGCUUGGAACCAAACUCGAAGAAUGAAAGGAUUCACCACAGGCCCGAUGACGACCCCCGAGUAUGAAUGGUGGUGGGGUAGGAGAGUUAACAACAACAUCCCUAGGCCGAAUCAAGGGAACACUCAACCGAUAGAGGAGCAUUUACGGGUCAUCCCUUCCAAAUUAGAGAUCAUUAAACAAGACUUUGAGAAAAGGAACUCGGAGUUGGGGAAGAAGAUAGAACAGCUAGAGGAAGAGAAAAUGAAGUUAGGAUUAGACGUCGAUAUCCACAAGCUAGAGGCUGAGAGGUUAAGAAAAGGAAAGAGCAAGCCGAGGAGGAUUUGGAUAGUCUGAAAAUCGAUUACAAGAAGUUACGUAUGUCGAUAAGAACCGCUGAUUUAGGUAAAACGUCGGAGCAAUGGCGUCAAGAGAUCAAAGAGGAAAAGACUAGAGUCGACCAUUGAGAGAAAAGGUUUCAAGAUGCCCGAGCACGGGAGGACACUCUGAAAAAGAGUCUGAUAGAAAGCCAAAAUGAAAAGGAAAAGUUACGAGCUUGGGUGGUUGAAUUGGAAAGAUCACUUCAUCAACAUCGUAGCCUUAAUUCGGUAAUUGAGCUGAAGGCUAGUCUGAGCAGGAUCGAAGAGUUGAAAGGGAAAGUAGAAAAACUCGAGACUGCAAUAUGAGAUAGUAAAAUUCGAGUGGAACUUCUUGAGGCAAACAAUGACCAUUGCUGGGAACAACUUCACCAUUCUCAGAACCAGAUUAGAGAUAGAGACUAUGUCAUGGGCGAAGCUAUGGCUCAGGUUCGGGAGGUAGCCGACCACCUGCAAACUUUGGCAGUCCAAGCAGAUAUAUUGAGCUUAAAGUAUGAGUCGGAAUCAGAGCGAGGCCAAAACUUAGCUUGGCUUCUUAGGAAAAUUAAGGCUUUGGGCAUUAGGGCAAAGUCGUAUAUGUAAUCAUCCGUUCUACGUAAAUAAAUUUUUCUUCUAGUGAAGUUCUUCUAAUGAAAUUGAAUUGGAAUCAACGCCUCUUUUUGCAUUCAUUCAUUUGCAUUACAUUUCAUCAUGUGCAUUAAAUUUCACAAAAAGACCCUAAUUAAACAAAAUUAUUUCAAUUAAUUUGGAAACCAACGAGAAUCAACCAACCGAACACAACUACUAUACCCGCCGUAAAACCAAAGCAAUGGAUCAGAGAUUAGAAAGAAUAGAACAAAUGCAAAGGGAAAUGCAAGAGCAAUUACAAGUACAUAUGCAAGAGCAACUGGCUAAGAUACAGCAAGAUAUGAAGGAAAAAAUGGAAGAAUCCCAAAAUAAUCUGAUAGGCCAGUUGGCGCAGUUACUGGCUAGAGAACGCGAGAAGGGGAAGAGCACCAUAGGGACUGACAAUGAAGACCCUAUUUACCCUCCAGACUUUGCUCCAGUAAAUACUCAACCACAACCAGAGGUACACCCGCGAACGGUACCUGUCACUAUCAGGCCCCAGCAAUACCAGGCCAAUGCCUCGACACCAUUGAAUAUUCCCAUAGGUUCGAGUUCUAAGCCCAGAGAUAAUCCAGCUAAUCCAUUUGUCCCGGACCUUGACGAUGUGGCAGAAAUAGAGAAAGAAAAAGUAGACUUGGCAAAACAACUUGAUGAUCGUUGUAAAUGGCUUGAAGAAAAAUUCAAAGCAAUGGAGACUGUUGAUUACCGUGGCGGGAUCGACGCUAAGGACUUAAGCUUGGUCCCAGACUUGGUACUCCCACCAAAAUUUAAAAUCCUAGAGUUUGAAAAGUAUAAUGGGACGAGCUACCCUGAAGCUCAUAUUACGAUGUUCUGUCGAAAGAUGACAGGGUAUGUCAACAAUGACCAGCUGUUGAUCCACUAUUUCCGAGACAGUUUGAUUGGAUCCGUGGCCAAGUGGUAUAACCAGCUCAACCGUGCCCAAAUUGGUUCAUGGAAGGACUUGGCUCAAGCUUUCAUGAAACAAUACGGUCACGUGACAGACAUAGCACCUGACAGAAUUACCCUAUAAAACAUGGAAAAGAAGUUGAGUGAGAGCUUCAGGCAGUAUGCACAACGGUGGAGGGAAAUAGCGAUGCAAGUCCAGCCACCCCUCUUGGAGAAGGAAACGACCAUGCUCUUUAUCAGCACUCUAAAGGCCCCAUUCAUUAACCACAUGUUAGGAAGCACUACAAAAAGCUUCUCGGACAUAGUAAUGUCCGGGGAGAUGACAGAAAACGCGAUAAGAUGUGGGAAGAUUGAAGCAGGAGAAAAUGCCAAGAAAUAAAUUUCGAAGAGAAAAGAAAAUGAGGUGAACAACACAAGUGUAUACAAUAAAAGUUAUAACAAGCCUGUCACUGUGAGCCAACCGAGGACGGUGACUACCAGCCAUCAGGGCUCCUAGACAAGAUUCCAACUCAAGGCCUAACACAGAAAGAGUCCAGUUUACGCCUAUCCCGAUGUCCUACAAGGAAUUGUAUCAAAUCUUAUUUGAUGCCCAUGUGGUGUCACCUUUCUACUUGAAGCCUUUACAACCCCCGUUCCUAAAAUGGUACGACACAAAUGCCCAAUGUGAGUACCACGCAGGGAUAACGGAGCAUUCGAUAGAGAAUUGUCUGACGUUCAAAAAGUUAGUGGAAAAACUCAUCGAAAUGGGUGUCAUAAAGUUUGAUGACCCACCAGGUCCCAAUGUGGCAGGAAAUUCGUUACCCGACCAUGCUAAUAAAGGGGUAAACGCGAUAGUUGAAAGUGGGAGCAAAAGAAUCAAGAUGGAUAUAUCAGAGGUAAAAACCCCGCUUAAACGAGUUUGGGAGAAGAUGGUAGAAGGAGGUUUAGUCACACAACAUCCAAAGGAAAGGCCCAAAGAAGCGAGAAGAUACUGCGGGUUUCAUGCUGAUGAAGGCCAUGACAUCCAAGAGUGCAACGAGUUUAGGUCCUUAGUGCAAAAUCUGAUGGACAAUAAGGAGAUGGAAUUUUAUGAAGAAACCAGAGGAUCAGAGGAAGAAAAGGUGUACGCUACAGAGGAGGGAACAACAGAAGGGGUCCAAAGAGUUAACCAUCCUGUAGUAAUCAUUUCGCGACCCAGAAUCAAUGAAGCAAGAGUACAACUAGCGCCGAGAGUCAUAAUCCAAAAACCGAUAUCCUUCCCAUACAAGGAUAGCAAAAAGGUUCCUUGGAAUUACGACUGCAACGUGACAAUCCCCGGGGGGAAAGCCCGGUAAAUGCUUCACAAGAGAACCAAGAUGUAGGUUUCUAUACACAAAGUGGGAGACGUUAUGAUCCUGCGAAUACAAACAAUGAAAUCGUUAAAGAAAAGGCUCCAAUAGUUGAGCAAAGGAAAGAGAAGACGGUUAGGUUCAAAUCGCUAGUCAAUGAGUCGGUAACCGAGAAUGAAGCUAGGGAAUUUCUAAAAUUUUUAAAGCAUAGUGAGUACAGCGUCAUUGAACAGCUACGCAAGAAACCGGCUCGCAUCUCAGUGCUAGCCUUACUGCUAAGUUCAGAAACGCAUCGGAACGCGUUAAUGAAAGUGUUGAAUGAGACUUAUGUCGCAAAUGACAUCUCAGUUAACAAAUUAGAUCGUCUGGUUAAUAAUAUCAGCGCUGAUAAUUUUAUUUUCUUUAACAAUGACGAAAUACCACCGGGAGGUAUGGGGUCCACAAAGGCCCUGCACAUUACCACACGUUGCAAGGGAUUCACAUUGCUGGGGGUAUUGAUUGAUAAUGGAUCGGCACUAAAUGUCCUACCUCUAUCCACAUUAAAUAGGUUGCCCGUGGAUAGUUCCCAUAUGAAAGCAUGCCAAAAUAUGGUGAGGGCAUUCGAUGGUACCGAAAGGAAAGUAAUGGGGAGGAUCGAAAUACCCCUUUUAAUCGGCCCUAGCACGUAUGAGAUAGACUUCUUGGUAAUGGACAUCAGGACCUCUUACAAUUCCUUCUUAGGAAGGCCAUAGAUUCGCUCAACGGGGGCAGUGUCGUCAUCAUUACAUCAAAAGCUCAAAUUUGUAACGGAAUUUCGAUUGGUGACCGUAAAUGCGGAAGAAGAUAUCAUUGCGUCCGUUACCAGCAAUGCACCGUAUGUGGGGACAGAUGAUGAAGCCAUAGAAUGUUCUUUUCGAUCGUUAGAAUUUGUAAAUGUGACCUUUUUUGUCGAAGGAAAUAAGAUCCCGAUGCCCCGAAUCUCUAAAACUACAAGAAUAGGCCUACAACUGACGGUUGGGAAAGGAGCUUUGCCAGGGAAAGGGCUUAGAAGAAGCCUACAAGGGAAGGUCGAAGUACCUAUGCUCAUGGACAAACGAGACAGCUUUAGUUUAUGAUUCAAGCCAGAUGCAAGACAGAAGAAAAAGGAGCAAGAGAAGAAACAAGAAAGGAGAAGAGCACGUUUGAGCGGGGAAGAGGUUAAGUGGGAGCCGAUGACCUUUCCUCACAUAUCCAGAACAUUCGUGUCGGGAGGAAUUAUUCACGCUGAAGGAAGAGUGACAACGAAAGGAUUUUCUGAAGAAAUGUUGGAAGACUUAAGCAUUAACGUGACACAUGAGGAAGGAGCUAGAGUAGAGAAUUUAUCGGGCAUCCGCCCUUAUGAGCCGGAAAGUGUUCUAAAUAAUUGGACUGCGGAAGAGAUUCCUAUAGUCUUUAGAACCAAUACAUAGUAAUGCUCUAAACACACCUAUUACUUCAGGCCUAGGAGUAAUAAGCGUCCUUUUUGUGAAAUAGGCUUGUGUCCAAAAUUGUUAUUUCAAUAAAUGCAUCAUUUUGUCUUAUCUCGUGCAAAUAUUCUUUUAUUCUUUUAUUCAUGAUCAUACUAUACAUGGCAUUGCUCUUAGAUUCUUUUGUUCUUUGUAUCUUCCUUCACACCUACAACAGGUCUCCAGAUAUCAAUGAUAUGAACGACGUUGCUACUAAUUCAGAGUCUCUUUUUGAGCGGGAUAUGUGUUUAGAGGGAUCUCAAGACUUUGAAGAUGACAGAGACUGUAACUUAUCCCCUGACUUGUUAAGGAUGGUAGAACAAGAAGAGAAACAGAUUCUACCUCACAAAGAGUCAGUAGAAGUCGUGAAUUUGGAAGAUGAACAGAAAAGAAAGAAGUAAAGAUCGGAGUUGGCAUUACCACAGAGACAAAGCGGGAGCUUAUUGAGUUACUCUAUGAGUUCAAGGAUGUCUUUGCAUGGUCAUAUCAAGAUAUGCCUGGGCUAAGUACUGAUAUUGUGGUACAUAGGCUCCCCAUUAAAGAAGAAUGCAAGCUAGUUCAAUAGAAGCUCCGAAGGAUGAGGCCAGAUGUUUUGUUGAAAAUAAAAGAGGAGGUCAAGAAGCAAUUCGAUGCUGGUUUCUUACAAGUAGAGAAGUACUCAGAAUGGGUAGCCAAUAUCGUCCCUGUCCCUAAGAAAGAUGGAAAAGUAUGAAUGUGUGUAGACUACAGGGAUCUGAACAAAGCCAGCCCGAAGGAUAAUUUCCCGUUGCCUCAUAUUGACACCUUAGUGGACAAUACGGUAGGUUACUUACUGUUCUCCUUCAUGGAUGGUUUCUCAGGGUACAAUUAGAUCAGGAUGCAUCCCGAAGACAUGAAUAAAACCACAUUUGUAACCAUGUGGGGAACCUUUUGCUAUAAAGUGAUGCCUUUUGGAUUGAAAAAUACGGGAGCAACAUAUCAGAGAGCCAUGGUAACCCUGUUCCAUGAUAUGAUGCACAAAGAGAUUGAAGUCUAUGUUGAUGACAUGAUUGCUAAAUCUCGUACAGAAGAAGAGCAUGUGCUAGUCCUGAGGAAAUUAUUUUUGAGGUUGAGGAAGUUUCAACUGAAACUCAAUCUAGCAAAAUGUACCUUUGGGGCCAGAUCAGGAAAACUGCUAGAAUUCGUAGUCAGUGAAAAAGGGAUUGAGAUUGACCCAGAUAAAGUCAAAGCCAUACAAGAUUUACCACCUCCGUGUACUCAAAAGGAAGUUCGGGGAUUCCUAGGGAGACUAAAUUACAUUGCUCGGUUCAUUUCACAACUAACCGAGAAAUGUGACCCCAUAUUUUGUCUCCUUAAGAAACAUAACACUAGUGUUUGGGAUACGGAGUGCCAGAAGACUUUUGACAAGGUUAAGCAAUAUUUGUCUAAUGCCCCAGUGCUGACACCACCUAGUCCAGAUAAACCACUGAUACUAUAUUUGACAGUAUUUGAAAAUUCUAUGGGAUGUGUGCUUGGCCAACACGAUGAGUCAAGAAGGAAAGAAAGAACGAUAUAUUACCUCAGUAAGAAGUUCACUGAGUGUGAGACGAGGUACUCGCCAAUUGAAAAGUUGUGUUGUGCCUUAAUUUGGACAACUCGAAGACUGAGACAAUAUAUGUUGUAUCACAUAACUUGGCUGAUUUCUAAAUUGGAUCCUCUGAAGUACCUGAUGGGAUCAACUGCUUUAAAUGGAAGGAUGGCCCAGUGGCAAAUUCUGCUUUCCGAAUUUGAUAUCGUCUAUGUAAAUCAGAAAGCUGUAAAAAGAAAUGCAAUAGCAAAUUUUCUAGCCAGUAGAGCUCUAGAAGACUACAAGACCCUCAAGAAGGUCAUCUUUGGAAACUAAACUUCGACGGAGCAUCAAAUGCUGUGGGUAACGAAAUUGGGGCAGUCUUGGUAUCCCCAGAUGGAAAUCAUUAUCCCUUCACUAGUAAAUUAGAUUUUGACUGCACGAACAAUAUGGCGGAAUACGAAGCAUGCAUCAUGGGCAUCCGUACAGCCAUAGAAUGCAAGAUUAAAGCACUAGAAGUAUAUGGAGAUUCUGCGCUAGUGAUUUAUCAACUCAAAGGUGAAUGGGAGACGAGAGAUCCCAAGUUGAUCAAUUAUAGAAAUCUAGUCCUUAAAUUGAUUCAAGAAUUUGAUGAUAUCGUCUUUUGCUAUCUCCUCCGAGAAGAAAAUUAGAUGGCCGACACCCUAGCAACUUUAGCCUCUAUGAUCAAUGUGAACAAACAAUAAGAUGUGAAACCAAUCCAAAUGAGUAUUUACGAGGCUCCAGCUCAUUGUUACAACCUCGAAGAAGAAGUAAAAAAUGAUGAUUAUCCUUGGUACCACGAUAUCCUGCGGUAUGUGAAGAAUCGUGAGUACCCUAACCAAGCUACUGAAAACGAUAAAAGAACGUUGAGAAGACUGGCCAGUGACUAUGUCUUGGACGAGGAGAUCCUAUACAAAAGAAGGAAGGAUCAACUACUAUUAAGAUGUGUAGAUGCUACUGAGGCGAGGAAAAUCUUGGAAGAAGUUCAUGAAGGCGUCUGUGGGACACACGCUAACGGCUUUACAAUGGCUAGGCAAAUUAUGAGAUUUGGUUAUUAUUGGUCCACCAUGGAAGGAGUCUGUAUUAACUAUGCCAAAAGAUGUCAUAAGUGCCAAAUCUAUGGAGACAAGAUUAAUGUGCCUCCUUCACCUUUGCAUGUUAUGACUUCUCCAUGGCCUUUUUCGAUGUGGGGCAUAGAUGUGAUAGGGCCAAUUUCGCCGAAAACUUUAAACGAGCAUCGAUUCAUCUUUGUGGUUAUCGAUUAUUUCACCAAGUGGGUGGAGGCCGCUUCGUAUGCUAAUGUUACAAAAUCAACAGUUAGCAAGUUCCUAAAGAGAGAGAUUAUCUGUCGAUAUGGAAUGCCAGAAAAGAUCAUAUCUGACAAUGCAUUGAAUUUGAACAACAGUACAAUAGCAGAGGUCUGCAGUCAUUUCAAGAUCAAACACCACAACUCGUCGCCGUAUCGCCCAAAAAAUGAAUGUUGCAGUCGAAGCAGCCAAUAAGAACAUCAAGAAGAUUGUGGGAAAGAUGACUGAAACUUACAAAGAUUGGCAUGAGAAACUACCAUUUGCUCUCUAUGCUUAUCGAACAUCCAUCAGGACAUCUACUGGGGCAACUCUUUUCUCAUUGGUCUAUGGAAUGGAGGCGGUUUUACCCAUCGAGGUUGAGAUUCCUUCCCUCAGAGUUUUGGCAGAAGUAAAAUUGGAUGAGGCAGAAUGGAUCCAGUCCCGAUACGAUCAGUUGAAUUUGAUCAAAGAAAAGAGGCUGAAGGUAAUCUGCAUGGUCAAAUGUACCAAAAACGGAUGAUGCGAGCCUACAACAAAAAGGUUCGUCCCAGAGAAUUCCACGAAGGAGACCUAGUAUUAAAAAAUAUUUUGCUUAUACAAAAGGACUUCAGAGGAAAAUGGAUGCCAAAUUGGGAAGGACCUUAUGUGGUGAAGAAAGCUUUUUCCGGAGGAGCAUUGAUAUUGACUGAAAUGGAUGGCAAGACUUUGCCCAAUCCUGUGAAUUUAGAUUCAGUCAAGAAAUACUUCGCCUAAAAAUAAAAAUAAAAAUAAAAAAAGGGAGAGGCUAAGGUGAAAACUCACAAAGAGCACCUUGAGACCAAAGGGAUUUUGAAUUGAAAACCCGUAAAGGGCGAUUCGAACUUGGAUCAAAGGUUGAGCCUGCGGUACUCUGCUAAUAUCUGAAUUAGCAAAGAGGAGAGAUGUUACACCUUGGGGCAUCGAUAAGAGUACUCUAGAUCCCUUAAACACAUAUUAGGCUUAAAAAGGGUCUUCCAGAAGUUCAUAUAGGGGAGUUCAUGCUGCGAUAUUUGGGGCAUCUAUUUUCCUUUUGAUUAUUUUGUCUUCCAGCAAUGUCAUGUUUUGUGAUUAAUCUAUUCCUCUCCAAAUUUUGUUUCUAAUAAAUUUCCAUUUUAUCCAUUAUCACGAUCUUUCUCAAGCAUUUUUGCAUUGAAAUAAUGACUAAUGGACUAAUGACACUUUUGUAAAAGGAGUUCUGUAUAUUACUCUGAAAGUUCUAAAUAGUACAGGAACCUGAAACAGGGCUAUUAUUUGGAACUAACUAAACGUAAAGAUUGGAAACACUUGAGAAGAAAGAGUUUAAAUUGGGACUUCCUCUUCGGGUUUUCUGAUCAAAGAACUAAGCAGAAUAAGAAGACUGGGUAUCGAUUCAGUGAAAGAACCUUGAUGAAUAGAGAGCAAUGACAACCUAAACAUUAAAAAAUGGAUCAUUCUCAUAACAUACCGCACUCAUGCAUUUAUAGAUCAUUCAUGACAUACCUAGUUAAGGGCAUUCUGAUUCAUUUCGAUCAUAGCAUCCUAAUCAUUUGGCAUAAGCAUAGGUAUUUGAAAUAGAUUCUACAGAUCAUACCCCUAGAGGAUGGUGUAGCAACGUUUGAAAAUUACAGAUCUUGUCCCUCUAAGCAAUAGUGGAACAGAUCGAAGACGGUGAGUCUCGUCCCCCUAAGUAGUAGGGUAACAGGCUUAAUUACAAAUCACUUUUCCCUGAAAUGGCGUUGGAGCGGCUAAAAGCCAUAGCAGAUCUCCUUGAAAUUUCAGUGAAUUUCUUUUCCCUGAAAUGGCGUUGGAGCAGCUAAAAGCCACAGCAGAUCUCCUUGAAGUUUCAGUGGAUUUCUUUUCCCUGAAAUGGCGUUGGAGCGGCUAAAAGCCAUAGCAGAUCUCCUUGAAGUUUCAGUGGAUUUCUUCUUCCUGAAAUGGCAUGGGAGCGGCUAAAAGCCACAGCAGAUCUCCUUGAAGUUUCAGCGAAUCUCUUCUUCCUGAAAGGGUAUGGGAGCGGCUAAAAGCCACAACAGAUCUCCUUGAAGUUUCAGCGGAUCUCUUCUUCCUGAAAUGGCAUUGGAGCGGUUAAAAGCCACAGCAAAUCUCCUUGAAGUUUCAGCGAACCUCUUCUUCCUGAAAUGGCAUGGGAGCGGCUAAAAGUCACAACAGAUCUCCUUGAAGUUUCAGCGGAUCUCUUUUCCCUGAAAUGGCAUUAGAGCGGUUAAAAGCCACAACAGAUCUCCUUGAAGUUUCAGCAAACCUCUUCUUCCUGAAAUGGCGUUGGAGCGGCUAAAAGCCACAGUAGAUCUCCUUGAAGUUUCAGCGAACCUCUUCUUCCUGAAAUGGCGUUGGAGCGGCUAAAAGCCACAGUAGAUCUCCUUGAAGUUUCAGCGGAAGAAGAUCAGAACAAACCUUAUCUCUCGAAAGUUGCAGCGGAGCGCAUUGAAGAUACUUGAAGAAAAGAAGCGUCAAGAGAAGUUGAGGCUUGGCAGGUCCCAGUAAAUUUGGCCCUUUCUAUUGUCUUUGCCCUAUUCUCGUUGCACGACAAUGAGCAAAGAGGGGCAGCUAUAGGUACCCAAAUUAACCCAGGCCCAUCAAUACCCCAACCUACCCUAGCCCAAAACACCAGUAGAAAAAAAACAAAGAAGCAGCAAACCCUAGGUGCCUCCACUUACAGCAUUUUUCUUCCACCUGCUCCCAUUACCUCCUUGAAGACCAGCAAGUAGUAACAAAAAAAAACAGCAAUAGGACUUUGCAUAAUUGGCUAUAAAGAGCCAUUCAUUUUCAAUGUAAAAUAGAGGGGAUUUUUUUUUAUCUUUUCUUCUUUUGAUUGUUGUUUUGUUUUUAGAAAAGAGAGGAAAAUAUUGUUAGAUCCGAAUAUUGAAAAUCAACGAAGAAAAACAACAAAAGAUAAAAAGGUUGAUUUUAAUCUCCUUUCUCCUAUUCAUGUAGUUCAUUCCUUUAAUUUAUCUCAUUAUUUUCGUUAUAAACCAUUUUCAAAUAAAGGCAUAAAAGAAAGAACUCAUCUGGAUCGUCGUGGUCUU